UCAAAGCCUACAAGACGGGCAACAUGGACCA
This 31-nucleotide non-coding RNA is filed under the name Homo sapiens (human). Lineage: Eukaryota; Metazoa; Chordata; Mammalia; Primates; Hominidae. The record is from RNAcentral.